Molecule: ribosomal RNA, 486 nt
Filed under: uncultured bacterium
Lineage: Bacteria
Description: partial 16S ribosomal RNA
Rfam family: Bacterial small subunit ribosomal RNA
Source: RNAcentral
AUUGAACGCUGGCGGAAUGCUUUACACAUGCAAGUCGAACGGCAGCACGGGAGCUUGCUCCUGUUGUCGAGUGGCGAACGGGUGAGUAACAUAUCGGAACGUACCCAGUCGCGGGGGAUAACUAUCCGAAAGGAUAGCUAAUACCGCAUACGUCCUGAGGGAGAAAGCGGGGGAUCGCAAGACCUCGCGCGAUUGGAGCGGCCGAUAUCGGAUUAGCUAGUUGGUGGGGUAAAGGCUCACCAAGGCGACUAUCCGUAGCGGGUGUGAGAGAACGACCCGCCACACUGGAACUGAGACACGGUCCAGACUCCUACGGGAGGCAGCAGACGGGAAUGGUGGACAAUGGGGGCAACUCUGAUACAGUCAUUCCGCGUGAGUGAAGAAGGCCUUCGGGUUGUAAAGCUCUUUCAGGAGGAACGAAACGGUCGGCUUUAAUAAAAUCGGCUAGUGACGGUACCUGCAGAAGAAGCACCGGCUAACUACGUG